This is a long non-coding RNA of Mus musculus (house mouse), 1090 nucleotides long. RefSeq annotates it as predicted gene, 31194. The record is from RefSeq and is a predicted model, not a curated record. NCBI's taxonomy places the organism in Eukaryota, Metazoa, Chordata, Mammalia, Rodentia, Muridae. The transcript has 2 exons.
UCUCCCGGGCGUCCUGGGUUGCCAAGGCGCGGUUGCCAGGGGCCUGCGCGGAGCGCCGUCCAGCCUUCCCGCGCGGGCGCUGGGUUUCCGCCGCCGCUGCCGCCGCAGCCUCAGCCGCCGCCGGGCCGCGUCGGGCUCGGCUCCUCCGAACCGUCUGGCGGACUUGGCACCGGCCCCCGCUCCUCAGUGCCCCCGCGGUGCGUGGCAGGCUGUGGCUUCAUUAUCCUGAUUGAUUCCUCCUGCUCCCCGACACCGUGGGGGCCCCGGCCAAGGAAGGGGGAGGGAAGCGGCAUCUGCGGGGCCCAUUCCCGUUCCUCCACCCAGCCGCUCCUCGGGCUGCCCGGCUACCGACCCUCGGCGCCCCGCGGCGGCCAGUCGGAUGGGGCGGGGUGGCAGCAUCCCCCAGAAUCAGAAAGGUGUCUGGGUGGGGAGGGAGAAUGGAGCUGGACUGAGAACUGAGAAGAGCAAGACCCGGCAGAAUGGGAAAGGUGACAUCUCUGAGAAGCGGGGUCUCCUGGGCAUCCAAGUAUACUUCUCAAGUGACAAGUCAUGGGUACGGUCUGCCCAGAAACUGCAGGAGCUUUAAGCAGGAGGACCCGUCCUCAGAAUCGGGUACCCACCCCCCACCCCCCACGAUCCCCAGUCAAGGGCUGAAAUCUGGAGAUCAGGCCUGAAGGUGGAGUGUCUUCAUUCUGCCACUUGGCCUGUGACCCGGGCAAGUAACUUGCUUUCUUGGCCGUGGUUUGUCUAUACAGUAGAAUUAUUAUCUCCCAGCAUCAAUGGUUACAUAAUUUACAUGUUGGCAGCAGGGCCCUAGCCAAGUUCACCAGAAACAAGAAAGGACGCUGUGGGGCUGGCCUCCAUCCCUGUGCUAUUUGGGGUGGAUCACUUGAGGGAGUGCCGCCAGCCCUGAGCACUAAGAAUACAAACCGUGUGAACCCCUCCAUGUGGAGUCUCCAGGCAGAAGAGGAAGCCAUGGCCGCCUAGUGGCUGCCAGGGAGGCUGGCAGGAAGGGGCUUCAUCAGACAUCUCCUGGGAAACAGUGAACUCCCCAUAGAAAGGACAUUUGACAGUAAAAUUCCUGCCUUAG